Equus asinus (donkey) is the source of this 3051-nucleotide long non-coding RNA. Lineage: Eukaryota; Metazoa; Chordata; Mammalia; Perissodactyla; Equidae. The record is from Ensembl.
GCACCUAGAAAGCAUGUGUUGGCCUUUGCAGUCUUCAGUGGGGUGGCCUCUACCCAUCCCAAUCUCUGGUUUUUAUGACCCUUCCUAAGUACUCGACGAGUGUUUACGUUGAAAAGACCUGGUGUCUAAGCAGGUCUGAGUUGACUGGAUGGCAGAGAACAAGAAGGGUGAUGGGAGACAUUGGUCCAAGGCCACUGAAGGUGCAAGUGGGACCCACAAAAGAUGGACCAGUGGAACUCCGAUGGCCAUCAGCUGAUGAAUGGGUCUGCCUGAGCCAUGAAGACUGUCUGUGUACUUUGUAUGGCUUCUGCUGACGUCAGCCCUUCAGGUCGCACCUGGCACAAGAAGGUCACUUCCUGCGUGGAUUUCUCCCAUCCCCAGCUUGAGAGCAGAGGAGGUAGUGGGUUGCCAAAUGUCUGCCAAAAGUUCCUGUCCACCUGAGCCUCGGACUGUGAUCUUAUUUGGAAACAGAGUCUUUGCACAUGUGAUUAAAGACCUGAAGAUGAUGAGCUCAUCCUGGAUUUCGGGUAGGGCCUCAGUUGAAUGACUGUUGUCCUUGUAAGAAAAGGAGAGGACACAGAGACAUGGAGGGGAGAAGAUCAUUUGAAAGACAGGGGCAGAGCUCGUAGAGCUGCUGCUGCAAACCAAGGAGGCAGGAACCGCCAUGAGCUGCAGAAGGUGGCCUCAAACCCUGUCAGCUGCUCCUGCGCUGUGACCUCACUCAGCUCUGCUUCCCAGAACUCCAGGUCUGGCAGGCCUGGAGAUGCUGCAGUCUCCUGGAUGCACAGACUCGCUGGGGCUUCUGCCAGGUCUCCUGCCGUUGACUGUACCUGACCUCAUUGCCAGGAUGGGAAGUUAUCAUUGUGAUGGCCUCUGGAAAUGCAGCUGGUGAGUCUCAUAGGAAGGGCAGACCUUUCCCAAUGAGUCCGCCCUUGGGAGUUGGCUAAAUGAACUUGUCCUUUCUUCUCUGAAUCCUGGGGCAUCAUAUUUCUUUUGAGCUCCACUUUGAAAACAAAAUGAAAUGUGAAACUUGAAUAAAAUGAGGGAUGCAGACUGCCAGCCAGGCAGAAUGUUCUCAGCUCAUUUGGAUCUUCCACCCUCUUCUCUUCCUGGAGAAAUGUGUCUCAUGUUACUCUCUGCAUCAUAAUCAUCUGGAUGGUUGUUAAAACUCAGAUUUAUGGACUUAAACUCAACUAGGUUGCAGGUGGGGCCAAGAAUUUGCACUUCUACAUGGUCCCAGAUGCUGCUGCUGCUGCUGGCACAGGCACCACAUGUGGAGAACUAGAUUUGGGGACAUCGAGCUGAUAGGAGUCAAGGACAGAAAGCUCAGGUCAUUACCCAGUGCCAACUCCAGACCAUUUCCCUCCACUGUCCUCCUCUGAGGAUGUUCCCUCUUCCCACCCUUGUCACUGUCAAUUACACACAUGUUGGUACCCCCCACCCACUGUCGUUUGCAUACAGAGAAAACAGGCAUCUUAGUAUCCCAAAAUUUCAGGUCUUCAGCGUCUCUCUGUGCUCUGCUGUAGGCACACGAUCACCGAGUUUUCACAGCUCCUUUAGUGCCUCAUCUCCAGUGAAAUCACACACCUCUCAGCCCUUACAUGCUCCACUCCACUUCCACACCCAAGUCCCAUCUUCACUCUGAUAUUCUCCUGUUCAUAAAUAAGUAACUCAGACCCACCGCAUUCCCAUCACACAGACCCAUCCCCAGUAAACAACCAUCUUUCCUCCCCGACUCUCUUCCUUCUCUCUUCCAACUCUCCUUGUUAAUCUCAGCUCCACCAUCUGACCUAACACAACAAUUGAUGCUCCUUAGAAGUCAAUCUUGCUCUCACAUUUAUUCCACAUUCACACCCCCUUCCCAAUGGCUUCACAUACCAUUAGUGCACUAGAAAUGCCCAUAGAAUUAGCAUAGACCCUACUUCAACCCUGAGACCCAAAUACUCAUCUGCCCACUCCCUACACCAGUGACAAAUCUCAACUCACAUUGAGCAGGUGCCAAGUUGAACCAACCAGUUCUCCAAAUAAUUCACCCCUCUGUCAAGGUCCCCUAAACUUACUUGUUGGUACUAAUUUCCUGCCUACCCCUGAGUGUCAUUCUGGACACCCUGCCACCCCACACUCAUAUAUCAGUGAGCAAUCCAUCCACCCUCCUGAAUCCACCUACAGAUUCUCAACUUUUGAAUAAUUCUUGAGCACCUUUCAGAUUUCCUACAAAAUACCAUCUCCACAGAGUGCCCUUCCCUAAUCCAGCAAUCAAAAUAAUAUUACAUUUUCUCUGUGUUAAUAUUUUUAAUUUUUAAUUGUAUGUGUAUUAUUAUCUAUUUCUUUUCGUACUGUUUUCCUCACUAAAUUGAAUACUCCAUGAAGUGAAGACUAAUGUCGACGUUAAUAUUUUGCACUGCUGUAUUCACUUCUUGCUUUGGCCUUAGAAGGUGCAGAUAUAGCUAUUGAAAGAAAUUAUUCAAACUCAAAGAAAAUACUUUCUAAAUUUUUCAAAAAAACUCAAUUAGAAUUGUAGAAUGAUAUAAUCUCUUUUCUGGUAUAUUGCAAAAAAUUAUCAGUAAGAUAGCAGAUCCUUUCUCUCUGUAAUCCAUGGUAAGACUCUACUCACAAUAAUCUGUUAAAAAUGUAAACCUAAUCAGUACACCUUUCCUUUUAAGCCCCUCAUUUCUGUCUUCAGAAGAUAUUUUUUUAAAGUAAAACCAUAAAUCUCACUUCAUUCCUGUUGUCCUGCUGUAAUUAUUGACGCCACUUCAUUCCCCGACAUGUCCCAGUUUGGAGGGAAAAUUAUUUGACCCUUCCAUUUAUAGAGCACCUAUUAUCUGCCGAGUUAUGCACUAAAACCCAUGAUCCAGAAUUUAACUUAACAAUAUCCCCGCCCCUGUUUAUUUUAAUCUCGGUGAGAGGAAAGAGUUAAUAAACAUAGUACUGAGUGUCUAAUACAGUGUUAGGUAUAACUCGGUCCUGGUAAACAGUAAGGCUGACACAGAGAUAGAGAGAGCAAGAGGGAGGGAUGGAGGAAGAGAGACAAGGAGGGAAGAAGGGAGA